This 167-nucleotide ribosomal RNA is filed under the name uncultured bacterium. RNAcentral describes it as "partial 16S ribosomal RNA". It matches the Rfam family "Bacterial small subunit ribosomal RNA", at positions 1334 to 1500 of the family's 1533-position model. The record is from RNAcentral.
GCUAGUAAUGGCAGGUCAGCAUACUGCCGUGAAUACGUUCCCGGGCCUUGUACACACCGCCCGUCACACCAUGAGAGUUGGGAAUACCCGAAGCCUGUGAGCUAACUGUAAAGAGGCAGCAGUCGAAGGUAGAAUCAAUGAUUGGGGUGAAGUCGUAACAAGGUAGC